RNAcentral lists this ribosomal RNA (497 nucleotides) under uncultured bacterium. RNAcentral describes it as "partial 16S ribosomal RNA". It matches the Rfam family "Bacterial small subunit ribosomal RNA", at positions 28 to 507 of the family's 1533-position model. The record is from RNAcentral.
GAUGAACGCUGGCGGCGUGCCUAAUACAUGCAAGUCGAGCGAACAGACGAGGAGCUUGCUCCUCUGACGUUAGCGGCGGACGGGUGAGUAACACGUGGAUAACCUACCUAUAAUACUGGGAUAACUUCGGGAAACCGGAGCUAAUACCGGAUAAUAUAUUGAACCGCAUGGUUGAAUAGUGAAAGACGGUUUUGCUGUCACUUAUAGAGGGAUCCGCGCCGUAUUAGCUAGUUGGUAAGGUAACGGCUUACCAAGGCGACGAUGCGUAGCCGACCUGAGAGGGUGAUCGGCCACACUGGAACUGAGACACGGUCCAGACUCCUACGGGAGGCAGCAGUAGGGAAUCUUCCGCAAUGGGCGAAAGCCUGACGGAGCAACGCCGCGUGAGUGAUGAAGGUCUUCGGAUCGUAAAACUCUGUUAUUAGGGAAGAACAAAUGUGUAAGUAACUAUGCACGUCUUGACGGUACCUAAUCAGAAAGCCACGGCUAACUACGUG